This 386-nucleotide ribosomal RNA is filed under the name uncultured bacterium. RNAcentral's name for it is "bacterial SSU rRNA". It matches the Rfam family "Bacterial small subunit ribosomal RNA", at positions 28 to 422 of the family's 1533-position model. The record is from RNAcentral.
GAUGAACGCUAGCGGCAGGCCUAAUACAUGCAAGUCAAGGGGCCAGCAAUGGCACCGGCGGACGGGUGCGUAACGCGUACACAACGUACCUCUGACAGGGGGAUAGCAUUGGGAAAACUGGUGGUAAUACCCCAUAGUAUUGCUGGGAGGCAUUUCUUGGCAAUUAAAGUUACGGCGGUCAGAGAUCGGUGUGCGUCCGAUUAGCUAGUUGGCGGGGUAACGGCCCACCAAGGCGACGAUCGGUAGGGGGUNUGAGAGCAUGACCCCCCCANAUGGUACUGAGACACGGACCCAACUCCGUACGGGAGGCAGCAAGUAAGGAAUAUUGGACAAUGGUCGGAAGACUGAUCCAGCCAUGCCGCGUAGAAGGACGAAGGCGCUCAGCG